Molecule: ribosomal RNA, 423 nt
Filed under: uncultured crenarchaeote
Lineage: Archaea; Thermoproteati; Thermoproteota
Description: bacterial SSU rRNA
Rfam family: Archaeal small subunit ribosomal RNA
Source: RNAcentral
GCGGGCCGUGAGAGCGGGAGCCCGGAGAUGGGCACUGAGACAAGGGCCCAGGCCCUACGGGGCGCAGCAGUCGCGAAAACUUUGCAAUACACGAAAGUGUGACAGGGCUAUCCCGAGUGCCAUCCGCUGAGGAAGGCUUUUACCCAGUCUAGAACGCUGGGGGAAUAAGGAGAGGGCAAGUCUGGUGUCAGCCGCCGCGGUAAUACCAGCUCUCCGAGUGGUGUGGAUGUUUAUUGGGCCUAAAGCAUCCGUAGCUGGCUAAGUUAGUCCCUUGUUAAAUCCACCGAAUUAAUCGUUGGAUUGCGGGGGAUACUGCUUGGCUAGGGGACGAGAGAGGCAGACGGUAUUUCCGGGGUAGGGGUGAAAUCCUAUAAUCCCGGGAAGACCACCAGUGGCGAAGGCUGUCUGCUAGAACGCGCCCGA